AUGCGGAAGAAAAAUAAAGUCUAUGGCCUUCAUCUUUCCAGUGGUGUUUGGUGCAAUGAUGACAUCAUUCUCAAGGAAGAAACACUGAAUUAUUUUAAAGAUUUUUUCUGCCUUACAUCUCCUAUACUCCUCGCUAGUAUGAGUUACUCAACUAUGGUUUACAUAUCAACUAAAUUGCUUCAAUUCUUCAAUUUUGGUUGCAUCAGCAAAGGCAUCCUAGAAGAUUUUGACUAUAUUUCAUAG
This is a non-coding RNA of Vicia faba (fava bean), 243 nucleotides long. NCBI's taxonomy places the organism in Eukaryota, Viridiplantae, Streptophyta, Magnoliopsida, Fabales, Fabaceae. The record is from the annotation of a GenBank genome assembly.